GGAGCGUGGCGGCUGUGGUGCUGCUGAUCCGUCGGCUGUGGCUAAGACGGCCCGGAGAGGACUCUCGUCGUUCUUCUGCUGGUUUGCCCACCGGCACCGCCUGAAGAUGAAUGAAUUUAACUGCGAACGUGCUGUGCUCCUCCGGUGAAGCCGAGGAAGUGAAACCUCCGGGCGCUACCUCGCUGUGUCUCCGGGCUCCGAACGCACGUUGCUGGCCCGGUGCAAGCGCUGCUUGUUCCAGCAUCAGAAGCAAGAUCACAGCACGCCUGGCUCCACAUUCAAGGUCCGGCUGGAUGGGGCUCUGAGCAAUCUGAUGUGUUGUAGGGGUUCCUGUUCAUUGUGGGGGAGUUGGACUGGAUGACCUGCAAGGAUCCCUUCCAACUCAUGGUUCUAUGGUUCUGAGUCAAGUGUCAGUCAGUCCUAGAAUGGACCAAGAUGGAAGUGUGUCAUACAGCACAAGAGAUGAAGUUGACCAAGAAAAUAAAGAAAACCCUGCAAAAACAUCUUUUUCAAUGCCACUGUUGAUGUCAGAUGCUGUGAUAUGAGCUUGGGGAGAGUGCAGUAUUUCACCUGGCCCUUGCUCUUGUGAAGUCGUGAACAUCUUGUUCAGAGAAGAAACAGAUCGGUUUCAGCUUGAGGAGCCCCAGCCUGCAGUUUCUGCUUCUCUUUCAAGUUCUGUAGGCUCUGGCAAAAGAACAAAAGUGAAGAAGCAGCCCAGGCUAUUGCACCUUUAAGCUUGUAUUGUGUUUCCAGUGUUAGAACUCAGACUAUGGUUUGGAUCCUAAAGCUAAACUAAAGGCUGAAAAUCGCAAAAAUUAGAAGAAAGCUAAAUGUAAUGAUAGGUGGUUAGCUCAUCCUAUGAAAGAUGUCUGCACCUUAAAGCCGGGCUCUAAAAGAGCACAGUGUUCCUCUGGUUAUAUUUACAGCGUGGAGCUGAAGUCAAAAAAUGUUCAGAAAAUCCAGGAAAAGUGCCUUGAUGUGGAUUGAAGUUGUCACGUGACUCAGUGGGUCCUAAUGGAAAAUCUGUUGAACUUGCUCAAGCAGAUACAAGUAACUUAGCAGGGCUUCCUCCAUGGAGGUGUUUUCUGUCAUCAAGUGCCUGGGGAAUGGCACAAGAAUUCUUCCAGGGGAAACUUUAUCUCUUUUGGUGCAAGAAGUAUUCAUCACCACUUGAAAAUGAGCAGGUGAGAAAUCUCCAUGUAGCUUGCCAUUAAUGGGAUCCAUCCAAAUGUCUCCACUUUGAUUUUGCCAGUAAGAAACCCAUGAAGUGUGUUCUUAUUACUCCAUUAAAUCAAGUGUCAGCACUUGUGGAAGCAUGUUAGUGAGAAGCCUUGCAGAUAUCCACUCUGAUCACAAGGUUGAUGUGAAGGACAGAAUGCAAAUGGCAGUGAGAAUCUCCUGGCUUUCUCCUUUUCCUGCCUGUGGAAUGCACUCAUGCAAGAUAGUGUGAUACCAGAAGGUGACAUGUUUUCACUGGAUGGUCUCCUAUUGUGGCAAACUGAUGGUAUCUGCUGCAAUGACGUUGUGAUUACUUCACAGUUGAUGGCAAUCCUUUCUGAGACUGCAGGAACAAAGUCACUGAAAUAAUUGCCAGGUAAAGCCAUUCACUUUUCAGUGUGAGGUCAUUUCUACAUCUGGCCUAGCAAAAGAAAAUGUCUGUGGUCUUUCACAAAUCUUUGAAAGCUUCUGUGCCUGUCCAAGAAUGCUCCUAGGAAAGCAUCCACCAAACUUUGCUCCAUGGAACCUACCGUGUGCAGGAGGAUACAGAAAAUAAUUUUGACUGGUUGUAAGAGUUGUAUCAGGAUUUAGAUUGGAUAUGUUGCAGUAAGUGGCAAAUGCUGGGGCUGCAAGGAUGUAAGAGGCCUCACUAUUCUGCAUUACAUUCUACUUCUGACUAAAGAAGGAAAAUUUUGUGAACUUGAAGAAGUUCACUGGCUCAAACAUUUGGAAUCACAUCUCUGAAGCUGUUUUUCUGCUGAAAUCAGUGAAUAGACUUUCACUUAAGUUCUACUCCCUUAAACCUGUAUGUAGGGAUAGGAACAAUGUCAAUGUGACACAGUAGACAUCUCACAAACUUUACAAUUUAUUUUCUAUCAGCUGCUUUUUGAGUCUAAUAUUUAAUUGUAAAACAAUUAUACAUGAUAUUAGCAAU
Molecule: long non-coding RNA, 2152 nt
Organism: Lagopus leucura (white-tailed ptarmigan)
Lineage: Eukaryota; Metazoa; Chordata; Aves; Galliformes; Phasianidae
Exons: 3
Source: RefSeq, a predicted model, not a curated record